GACAUGUAUUAUUUGGAGAUGUUCAUUUCUGCGUGGUGGAAUUUUAUUAUCAAAUCCCAUUUGCUUUUAGAUAGUUGUAAACGCUGAUUUAAUUUGGUGAAGCACAAAGCUCCCUCAUUUUAUUUUAUUUAACUGUUACGCGUUUUAUUUAAAGUGUUGAUUCCAUGAUGAAUUUCAUUUUAGUUCAGCUUACUCGUUGCAUUGAAUUGGAUUCACACACUUUUGUAUUUCGUUUUAUUCCAGCCGCAAGAUGCAUUUUCUUAAUUUUCAAUUGUUUUCCAAGUGGUUCACGCAAUGUGUAUUUCAUUUUCAGCCAAGUGUUUUUAUUUUUAUUAUC
RNAcentral lists this long non-coding RNA (337 nucleotides) under Vigna radiata. RNAcentral's name for it is "long non-coding RNA (VRAD_LNC003528)". The record is from RNAcentral. Lineage: Eukaryota; Viridiplantae; Streptophyta; Magnoliopsida; Fabales; Fabaceae.